CAGUAGCCGCGGGAAUACGAAGGGGGCUAGCGUUGCUCGGAAUUAAUGGGCGUAAAGGGCGCGUAGGCGGACAGUUCAGUCGGGGGUGAAAGCCCGGAGCUCAACCUCGGAAUUGCCUUCGAUACUGGCUGUCUUGAGUAUGAGAGAGGUGUGUGGAACUCCGAGUGUAGAGGUGAAAUUCGUAGAUAUUCGGAAGAACACCAGUGGCGAAGGCGACACACUGGCUCAUUACUGACGCUGAGGCGCGAAAGCGUGGGGAGCAAACAGGAUUAGAUACCCCGGUAGUCCCUGUCUCUUAUAC
RNAcentral lists this ribosomal RNA (301 nucleotides) under uncultured bacterium. RNAcentral describes it as "partial 16S ribosomal RNA". It matches the Rfam family "Bacterial small subunit ribosomal RNA", at positions 509 to 807 of the family's 1533-position model. The record is from RNAcentral.